RNAcentral lists this transfer RNA (67 nucleotides) under Eurythoe complanata. RNAcentral's name for it is "tRNA-Ser". The record is from RNAcentral. Lineage: Eukaryota; Metazoa; Annelida; Polychaeta; Eunicida; Amphinomidae.
GGACACUUGUUUUGGAAACAAUUGAUUUUGAAAGUCAAUAAAAGCUGUUCAACUCAGCUAGUGCCCC